Gasterosteus aculeatus (three-spined stickleback) is the source of this 919-nucleotide long non-coding RNA. The record is from Ensembl. NCBI's taxonomy places the organism in Eukaryota, Metazoa, Chordata, Actinopteri, Perciformes, Gasterosteidae.
CAUUGAACAAUGGAUUGACUGGAUCAACUGAUGAAACAUGGACAUCAUUCAUCUGCUCCUGCUCCUACUGUCAUGCAUAAUUCAAGCAGUCCGAGGUCAGGUGACGCUGACACCUGAAACACUAACGGUCCUAAAAGGAAAAGAGGCCCGGUUUACCUGCAGGCCCUCCCUCCCCGAGUGGACCGUUAUGGUGUGGCUGAUGAACGGCAAAUCGGUUCUCACCAUCUCCAAUAAGACGGGUGCCCUGAACACUGUCCACCCAAAUGUGACGGCCGAGCAAAGCGGAGACGGCUGGGUGUUGGUCAUCAACAGGACGGAGAGGCACAACGAGGGCUCAGUGGUCUGUGAUCUCCAGGGUAUUACUACGAAAACAGCAAGCCUGUUUGUACAAGAGACGGGCAGCGUGAAAGUCGUUUGGGACAACAGGUUGGCUUUAAAGGAUUCCUGGGUGCAGUUUGAAUGCCUAACAGCAGGAUGGUACCCUGCGCCCACUGUGCAAUGGCAGGUGAAAGAAAAAGAGGGGAAAGAGACAAAACACAUCAGCAGCAGUGAAACGACCAAACUCAACAUCAUGGCAACGAAGAGCUCAGAUGUGUCUUGUCUGGCGUCCGUGUCUGCCCUGCUCACGCCACUGAAGAGCUGCGCCCGUCUGACAGUGGUUGUAGAGGUGGGGCGGGAGAAGGAGGAAGAUGUCUGCAGCGUGGUGCCCCUGGCAAUAAUGUCCUCCCUCUCUGCUCUUCUGCUGCUCCUCCUGCUCUGUAUCUGCACCGUCCUCUGGCUCAGACGAAGGAGACAAGCACGAGCCGGCACACAGGAGGUAGUAAGGUCCGACCAAUCGGUGAGCGGGAGGAGUUCGGUUGCCGAGGCGACAGCCGGGAAGGUCAACCUGGGAUAUUCUAGUGACGGCCCCACAGAUUGA